GUCCUUGCCAUAGUGCCCCUCUGCCACUUCCUUGCCCUACGGAAUGCGCCUUUGCAUUUCUCGUGAUGAAUCCUGAUGAAGUCUGGGCCGCUGUGUGUUUGACAAUGGGCUCACGGGACAGAAGCUGCUGGACUGCACCUUGCAGAUGGCGCGUCUCUACAGGCACCGCCAGAUUCCUGGGUGGCUCCUGGGGACCUCCAAGCCUUGCGCAGACCCAAGGCCACCUUGCCACCGUGGCCACAGCCCAAUGCUGGCUGCUGGGCAGCAAACCUGCAGAAAUGCAUAAACGCACCAGGGACAUCCGCCCUGAGCCCAGGGCUCUUCCUAGGCCCAACGUUCUGUCCAGGUAACUCCACAUUUUGGCCACUGCUCCCACGCUUGGCAAGACUGCAACCCCCACAGCCUCCCACUCUAGGGCAGCCAGAGGGCAGUGUCGCAAGCCCGGGACCCUCGGGCAGAACGGAAUGUGGCUUUUCCAUUGGGGGCGCUGGCCCAUGUGGCACUCACAGGUAUGACAGAUGGCCUUGCCAGUGUGGGACUCCAGGGACUGUGGGAGAAGAGCACACUGGCAGGGCUGCCCAGGGCUGCCCAGGGGUGCCGGGAUGUGAACCAGCUGCGCGGCACAGUGGGUCACCUAGGGUGGCCCUGCCUGGUCUGAGAAUGGGCAGUCCGUCACAGCACCAUGUCACUCCAGUCCUGGCCCAAGUGCCUGGGAAGCAGCACUGUGUGCCCGAACACACUCAGACCUGUCCAGGCCCCCGGGAGAAGCGGCAGGCAAUGACGUGGUCCCCACAAAGCCUAGCGCAUGCUUAUGGGGGUCCAUCAUCUCCUCCUCGCCCCGCCAGGCUCCCGAAGCUGCCAAGUGAGCAGCGGGAGGUGGGGGUUUGCGCACAGAAUGAGGCUAAGGACGGACGGGCUUUACCACCAGCAGCCACCAUCACCUGCUCUGCGGGGCCUGGGCCAGCCCUGGGAGGGGGCGGACGGAAGGAGGGGCAGCAGUGCGCGGGGCUCAUUUACCGUCUUCCAGACACCAGCUCAGGGACAGCGGGUGUGUAUCACCGAGGACCAGGGUCGCACCCCAAGGCUGCACUGUGUCUGCACGUGGCCUGGGGGCCUGUGAGGCCAGGCUGCAGGGCAGGGGCCCGCGGCCGUGCCAGCUUCUCUCCUGGGUCGUGACGGUUUUACCUCCUCACUUGGCAGAGCAUCUGCUGCUAGGGCCUGACGGCUCUGGCUGGUGCAGUCAGGACUUAGCUUCCCAGCCAUGGCUGGAAUCCCAGCCUCCCAAAGGCGCAGCUCCUAACCUCUCUCCCCUGCCAAGCUCACAGGCUUCUCCUUGGCAGGCAGCCCUUUCUCCUGCUGGACCCAACCGAGGGCACAGUGACCCAGGGACAGCGCACUGGGUGUCACCCUCCAAGGCCUCGGAGCCACACAGACCCAGCACAGGAUUAGAAACAGACCUCCCGGGAGGCAGAGGGCCAGGCCUCCCGGUUUACGGCGUGACGAGGCUGCGCUCAGGAGAGCGCCUCAGUCCUCCUCCACGUCAGCUCCAUGACUGUCACCACCGAUGAGGACCUCUGACCAUCCUUCUGACCAUCCAGGAGCUGGGCCCGCCCCAGGGCAUCAGUUUCCAGGGAAGCCUCUGCCUGUCUGGGAGCCUCCCCACCCGCCAGGCCGCGGCCAUCACAGAUGCCCUGCGCAGCCCCCGCCCCUCCUAGAGCAAAGGCUCCGUGAAGACUUUUUUCUCUGGCUCAUCCCUUUAAGGAGCCGUAAAGGGUCCGGAAUGUGCUCCCUCCGUGGUGGGAGCUUGUUGGCCUCGGCUGUGCCGGGCAGGGGCUCCCGGGGCCUGGCCGGGUGGGCAGCGGUGCUGAAUGAGCUCCGUCCAGGAAGAUUCGAUGAACAGUCGUCACUUAAAAGGGUAAACAGAAAUUCCAUUUCCCUUUUACAUACUUGAAUAUUUCCAAACACCUGGAGGAUGCGGUGCUUUUCCCUCCAAGCAGCUCCGUGGAGUUUUGUGGGUUACCGUGGAGGAUCCAGCACUCCUCUCAGGGAAAACUGGCCUGAGCAUUGCAUAACGCAGGCAGGCUGCCCUGCUCACGUCGCCAGCGGGUUACGUGCGUGUGUUUCCAGGAGACUUGCUGGAACAUCUUCCCCAGAUCUUGUCAAAGUUGGAUGUGGAAAGCAGCUUGGUCCAUCCAAGGUCCACAGAGUGACCUGCCAGGGAGCCUGUCGGCCAGGAGGGAGGCGACACGACACUUGGCCCCAGGAGCUGGAAACACGGGUGAACUUAGAUGCGCCAAGCCUUCUGCCUGAGUCACAGUUAGUCAUUAUCCCUGGUCUUACCGGAGCAGGAACGACUGCCAUGUGGCGGGCGGGCAAGAUUCACUUUCGGAAGGAUCCCCGUGUAGACAGGCGCUCUGCCAGAGCAGUCGUGGGGAGUAUGGGUGUGUGGAGCCAGGCACCGGGCUGACCCUGCCUUCCAAGCAUCCACGCGGCCUUCAGCAGGACAGGAGAAAGCCUAGGACUUGUACUGUGAAGUCCCAGACCUAAGAAAUCCAAACCUGAGAUGGAAAAGAGGGUGGAGAGAAUGGGUCGCCGGACUGGCCGUCCAGAGCAGCCUCAGCUCAGCAGGCGGAGCUGUGCGGGCUGCCCCACAGGCCUGGUGGGUGCUCCCGGUGCAGGGCGGGGAGCAGCGUCCCCAGCGAGCAGCCUGCCCCACACAUGAAGGUACCCACACACUUAGCCCCUUGCUAAGAGUUUCACUGGCCAGAGCUCCGUCCGAGUCCAGGGCUCCACUCAAGGGACUGCGGUCACUGUUGUGAAGAAGGCCCGUCAGGGCGAAUGUUCUCCUCCCCAGGGGAGCAGAGUCACCUUUUGUCAGACAGAACUUGGUGAGCCUGACACAGCUGGUAGUGGCCCCAGCUCCAACACCUGACCUCAGAGCUGAAGGGCACAGAGAAGGCACAGCUAGAGACAGCAGGUGCCCCUCGAAGCUCUCAGGAGAGGGUACCAGGCGGGAUCUCCCAGCACCCUUGGCCUCUAGGCUGAUCUGGCCUCAAAAGCCCCGAGAGGGCUGGAUCCAAGGAGACAAAGCCGGAGAGGUCGGGUGGCUAAGGGGACAGGCUGGACAGCGGUGGGGGAGGCAGGUGGCUUUGCUAUAAACAAUCGUCUGAGUAACGUGGCACUGCCCUUGUGUGGGCAGGUUCAUGCACCGGCAUAACCUCUUCUAAAACACACUUUUAUGGAGGUGAAGUUUGCUUAACAGCCAUUUUAAAGCAUACACUUCGCGGGCAGCGCUGGAUUCACGAUGCACACCUUCUGCUUCUCUGGUUUCAGGACGUUUUUGUCCCUCCAGAACAAUGCCUCGUACCCGUUAAGUAAUCACACCUCAUUCCUUCCCCAGCUCUGGAAACCACAGAUCCGCUUUCUGUCUCCGUGGGUGUGUCUGUUUGGGAUAUUUCAUAUAAAAGGAAUCACGCAGCACGUGAACAUGUGUGUCCCGCUUCUUUCCGUGAAAGUCGCAUUUCCAAGGCUCCGAGUGGUGGUAUGUCUCAGCAUCUCACUUCUGUUCACAGGUGUGUAAUAUCCCGUCCCAGGGACCUGGCACCGUUUGUGAAUCCCUGCACCUGCUGGCGGACACCCAGUCAUCUCCACUUUCCCGCUGUUUGAAGGACGGAGCUGCGAACAUCCGUAUGCAUGUUUCUGAGGGGUGGGUUUUGUUUCUUUUGGGUACAUGCUUAAGAGGCGAAUGCUGAAUCCCCUGCCAAGUCUGCUCAUAACCUUUGUCAGGAACCAGCAAACGUUUUCCACGGCAGACACAUCAUUUUACAUUCCCACUAGCAAUGUCUGAGGCUUCCCGUUUCUCCAUAUUCUCGCCUUUUUCUACUUAAAGCUCCAGGCAGAGGGAACAGAGCAGGUAAAGACCAGAGGCCCAGCAGGCAGCGCUUGGCUGGAGCUCACCAGGGGCUGGACGGCGUUGGACCAGAGGGCACGAGAAAGACAGGAGUGGAGGCCGAUGCCCACCGGUGGACCGCAACAAGGGCUGGGUGGCUGGGCCAUGUUGCUCAUGCAGAGGGAGCAGAGACGUUUGGAAAUGCUUUGCAGAGGUGAGAAUAUGGCUUGCUCGGAGAGCGCUUGUGUAUCUGCAGUUCCCUGAGAAGGCCUGUAGGAGUGACACCAGUGACAAGGCCAUUGCAGGAGGCAACGGGAGCUGUCGGUUGGAGUGGGAUCGCCGUGAGAAAGGGCUGGAGAGAAGAGGCCUCUUGUGGCAACAGCAAGCAGUUUCCAGAGAUGAGUGUGCAGCUUGAGUGGGCGGAGGAGGCAGAGGGCAUGACUGCUGCCUCAUCUUAACGCCUUGGGCCUGAUAAUUUGAAAGGACUCACAGUCCCCAGGUGUGUUGCCACUGCAGCUGUUCCAGUCCAUGACACAGCCUUGUAAUGUCAGCGUGGAUGUGUAAGUGUGCAGGGAACAAUCAGUGCCAGUGUAGAGACCCUGGAUGUGGCCAUCCACUCUCAAUGGCCCUAAGUCCUUCCAGACCCUCCAUGUUCAUUUCCCAGGGAACCUCUGGUUUGGAACCGUAACUGCAAAGAGUUUCUACACCCAAGACAUGGGCGAAAAAUUCAGAAGCCACUGGGACCGCCUUGGAAGAAGGAACUCGGCCAGGGCCUUUGUCAGUCAUCCCGAGUCACUAGCACUGAGGCGUCCUGUGCCAGGAGAGGGGGUCUUGGCCCAGAGCUCACCCUCCCCGCUGAGGCACGCUUGGCCCUCGGAGCUAAGAUGCUCUGCACUGCACUUUUAAGGAGCAGGGAUCCUGCCAGGGAGGACUCUUGAACAGAACCUCAAUAAGCAGUGAUUUACGGUCAGCCCCUGCAUGCAGCAGAUGCUGUGGGCCUGCUGAGCUCAGGAGCAGUGCACCUGCACGCCUGCCUCCCGGCCUGACCCAGCUCCAGCCUCUGUGCUCCAUGCUGACUCCUGUCCCACCAGCACCAGCCGCCAACAGUGGGGGAGACAUUCUUUCCACCGUAAGGAUUUGUUUCCUGUAAACACAAUUAGCACAUAAAACUGUGCAUCACGUGGUGAAAGGAAUUAGGAAAAUAUGCUGUGUUUACUUUGUGGUUCCAAGAGCUGAUAUCUUUACACCUUUGAUCUGCCAAGAGCCCAGAUCAUGGGCAGGAAAGGAGGGAUAAACCUGGCCCAAGCAGCCAAUGGAUAAACAGCCGCCCGGCCGUCUCCUCACAGUGCAACUCAACUGCUGCUCCCGAGCUGUGCUUCCGAGUGUGGGGCUGUGUGGCCUCUGCCCCCAAGUGGAGGCUCCUGCAGAGCACAGCUGGGCCAGGAGCUGGGUGGCUCCACUGAUGCUUCACUUCUGUACCUCAGUUUCCAUCCAAAGAAGAGGAGACAGCACAGGGCUCUUGAGCAGAACAAGACAGUUCCCGUGAGAUACUGGGGGCAGUGUCAAAUGAUGCCAGUGACUGAAAAGGAAGCAGCCUGUGUUACCAGGACCACAUGACCUCCCCACUGCUUUCCAGAAGGUUCCUGAAUAACCCACCCCUUAUUUACAUGUAAUUAGGUGGAGGUAUAAGCAGAGCCAGCCAGCAAUCCAAGGGGGUCCCUCUGCCUGUGGACGUCCCUGCUCUGUCUCUGCAGCAGCCACUGGCUGUGCCCUGUUGCCCCAAUUACCUCUUCCUCCACCAUCGGCUCAGGCAAGACUCUGUCCUGAUCAACGCUUCCUCCACCGUCAGGUCACAUGUGACUCUCCCCUGAUCAACGCCUCCUCCACCAUCGGCUCACGUGUGAAUCUCUCCUGAUCAACCCCUCCUCCA
Long non-coding RNA from Cebus imitator (Panamanian white-faced capuchin), 5819 nucleotides. RefSeq lists it as uncharacterized. The transcript is spliced from 5 exons. NCBI's taxonomy places the organism in Eukaryota, Metazoa, Chordata, Mammalia, Primates, Cebidae. The record is from RefSeq and is a predicted model, not a curated record.